RNAcentral lists this long non-coding RNA (1030 nucleotides) under Hordeum vulgare. RNAcentral's name for it is "long non-coding RNA (HVUL_LNC014798)". Lineage: Eukaryota; Viridiplantae; Streptophyta; Magnoliopsida; Poales; Poaceae. The record is from RNAcentral.
CUUAAGAUGUUUAUCUUUCCAGAUUUCACAGCAUGAAAAUGAAACGAGGCAUGCAUCCAGUUCUAGUGCAAAUACAUUCACUGAUAAAAUACAUUCAGUACCACAAAGAAGCAGAUUCUACUACCCCCUCCGUUCACUUCUAUAAAUCGUUUCAGACAACUAAAAUUGAGCUGUUUUGUGCGCUGUCUGAAAUGUCUACAACGUCUUAUACAAGUGAACAGAGGGAGUCGCAAACAUUAGCAAUAUAGCCAUCAACUUCAUCUUGGCACCACUCAUGUCCAUCUAUCCUGAUUGUUGUUUAUUGUAUCCAUCCUGUUUAUUAACGACGUCAACACCUUUCAUCCUUUGUUACCAGCACUGAUUGUUUCAGCCAGCCUUCGUAGGUUGCCAUGUCUUUCCGCAGUGAUCUGCAAGGUGAGCAGGGCUAGCCGGAGCGCUCCGGCAAAAUGAAGCAAGGGUGACUCUGCAGCUGCUUAUUACGCCUUUUCUUUUCCAUUUUACCCCAUAGAUCCGGUGUGUGUUUGAUGUGUCCAACCGAGUACAUCUGCAGACGAAGUCGCAUCAGCAUCAGCUGACAAUGAACAAGAACAUAAACGUAAAAGCUAUGUCUAGAAGCAGCCGUCUAAAGUAGAUAUCGAUUGUAUGAUAGUACAAAAUGGAUCCAAUUAAUAAUGUAAUGCAUAGAUAACAUCCACUGUGAUCCAAAAGAAACUGCAUAGGUUCAGGGCUUCAGGCACAUGGUACAUACAUCAUACCAUACGAAAGAUACACGCUUCAACCAGUAACAACCAAACAUGGCACUCUGAGGAUAGCAAAACAGAACUAAUCGUAUGACGAUAAACGUAUUUAUAUACAUCUCUUGGCAAAGGAGGUGGAGCCAUUGAGGGCGACGAUUAUAGAAAUCGGCGAUGAAAGUGAACUGAGGGGUCAACUGACAACAGAUGCAAGAGCUGAACUGCAUGAUGAGAGCUUGAGAGACUCACUCCACCUCGGUAACAGACAGUGGAGACGAGAUGUGGUCCCUAGGGGG